This is a non-coding RNA of Phrynosoma platyrhinos (Desert horned lizard), 72 nucleotides long. NCBI's taxonomy places the organism in Eukaryota, Metazoa, Chordata, Lepidosauria, Squamata, Phrynosomatidae. The record is from the annotation of a GenBank genome assembly.
GCCAGUGUGGUAUAAUGGUUUGAGUGUUAGACUACGAGUCUGAAGACCAGGAUUCAAAUCCCCGCUUAGCCA